CCUACGGGGUGCAGCAGUGAGGAAUAUUGGUCAAUGGACGGACGUCUGAACCAGCCAUGCCGCGUUCAGGCCGACGGCUCUAUUAGUUGUAAACUGCUUUUGUACAAGGGUAAACCUGAAUACGUGUAUUCAGCUGAAAUUACUGUACGAAUAAGGAUCGGCUAACUCCAUGCCAUCAGCCGCUGUAAUACGGAGGAUCCAAGCGUUAUCCGGAUUUAUUGGGUUUAAAGGGUUGUUAGGCGGAUUGAUAAGUUAGAGGUGAAAUGUCCGAGCUUAACUCGGGAACUGCCUCUAAUACUGUUGAUCUGGAGAGUAGAUGCGGUAGGCGGAAUGUAUGGUGUAGCGGUGAAAUGCUUAGAGAUCAUACAGAACACCGAUUGCGAAGGCAGCUUACCAAUGUAUAUCUGACGUUGAGGCACGAAAGCGUGGGGAGCAAACAGGAUUAGAUACCCUUGUAGUC
Molecule: ribosomal RNA, 460 nt
Filed under: uncultured bacterium
Lineage: Bacteria
Description: partial 16S ribosomal RNA
Rfam family: Bacterial small subunit ribosomal RNA
Source: RNAcentral